CUACGAUCGGUACGGGCAGUGAGAGCUGGAGCCCGGAGAUGGGGACUGAGACAAGGCCCCAGGCCCUACGGGGCGCAGCAGGUGCGAGAACUCCACAAUGCUCGAAAGAGUGAUGGGGGAACCCCAAGUGCCCUUGUAUUGCAAGGGCUUUUCCCUGGUGUAAGGAGCCAGGGGAAUAAGGGCUGGGUAAGACUGGUGCCAGCCGCCGCGGUAACACCAGCAGCUUAAGUGGUCGCCGUUUUUAUUGGGCCUAAAGCGUUCGUAGCCGGGUGGAUAAGUCUCUAGGUAAAUCUUGCGUCCAAGCGUAAGGCUUCUGGAGAUACUGUCUAUCUUGAGGCCGGGAGAGGUUGGAGGUACUCCCGGGGUAGGGGUAAAAUCCUGUAAUCCUGGGGGGACCACCGGUGGCGAAGGCGUCCAACUGGAACGGGCCUGACGGUGAGGGACGAAACCCAGGGGAGCGAGCCGGAUUAGAUACCCGGGUAGUCCUGGGCGUAAAUGAUGCGGACUAAGUGUGGGGGUAUCCACGAGAUACCUCUGUGCCCGAAGGAAGCCAGUAAGUCCGCGCCUGGGGGAGUACGGCCGCAAGGCUGAAACUUAAAGGAAUUGGCGGGGGAGCACCACAAGGGGUGGAGGCUGCGGUUUAAUUGGAUUCAACGCCGGAAAACUCACCGGGGGCGACGGCAGAAUGACGGCCAAGCUGAUGACUUUGCUUGACGAGCCGAGAGGAGGUGCAUGGCCGCCGUCAGUUCGUACCGUGAGGUGUCCUCUUAGGUGAGGUAACGAACGAGACCCCCGCCCUCAGUUACCAGCAAAUUCCUAUGGAAUGAUGGGGACUCUGAGGGGACCGCUGCUGCUAAAGCAGAGGAAGGAGGGGGCAACGGUAGGUCAGUAUGCCCCGAAUCCCCCGGGCUACACGCGGCCUACAAUGGUUACGACAAUGGGUUCCAACACCGAAAGGUGAAGGUAAUCCCCUAAACGUAAUCUCAGUCCGGAUUGUGGGCUGUAACUCGCCCUCAUGAAGCUGGAAUCCCUAGUAAUCGCGUGUCACUAUCGCGCGGUGAUACGUCCCUGCUCCUUGCACACACCGCCCGUCA
This 1094-nucleotide ribosomal RNA is filed under the name uncultured Theionarchaea archaeon. RNAcentral's name for it is "bacterial SSU rRNA". It matches the Rfam family "Archaeal small subunit ribosomal RNA", at positions 258 to 1355 of the family's 1478-position model. Lineage: Archaea; Methanobacteriati; Methanobacteriota; Theionarchaea. The record is from RNAcentral.